AAGACUAUAGACCUGCGGAGUACCUGCGGAAGGAUCAUUACAAGUGACCCCGGUCUAACCACCGGGAUGUUCAUAACCCUUUGUUGUCCGACUCUGUUGCCUCCGGGGCGACCCUGCCUUCGGGCGGGGGCUCCGGGUGGACACUUCAAACUCUUGCGUAACUUUGCAGUCUGAGUAAACUUAAUUAAUAAAUUAAAACUUUCAACAACGGAUCUCU
This 217-nucleotide unclassified non-coding RNA is filed under the name soil metagenome. RNAcentral's name for it is "partial contains 5.8S ribosomal RNA, internal transcribed spacer 2, and large subunit ribosomal RNA". The record is from RNAcentral.